GACCAUAAAGGAAAACCCCCACUAUUUUUCCUCGAACUUGGCGGAACGCAGAAAAAUAAUGGGGGCCUCACAGAAU
This 76-nucleotide non-coding RNA is filed under the name Plasmid incB. It matches the Rfam family "Pseudoknot of the regulatory region of the repZ gene", at positions 1 to 70 of the family's 150-position model. The record is from RNAcentral.